RNAcentral lists this ribosomal RNA (301 nucleotides) under uncultured bacterium. RNAcentral describes it as "partial 16S ribosomal RNA". It matches the Rfam family "Bacterial small subunit ribosomal RNA", at positions 509 to 807 of the family's 1533-position model. The record is from RNAcentral.
CAGUAGCCGCGGGAAUACGUAGGUGGCAAGCGUUGUCCGGAAUUAUUGGGCGUAAAGGGCUCGCAGGUGGUUUCUUAAGUCUGAUGUGAAAGCCCCCGGCUCAACCGGGGAGGGUCAUUGGAAACUGGGAAACUUGAGUGCAGAAGAGGAGAGUGGAAUUCCACGUGUAGCGGUGAAAUGCGUAGAGAUGUGGAGGAACACCAGUGGCGAAGGCGACUCUCUGGUCUGUAACUGACGCUGAGGAGCGAAAGCGUGGGGAGCGAACAGGAUUAGAUACCCCGGUAGUCCCUGUCUCUUAUAC